CAGAUCACUCUGACCCUGGCUUUUCUGCCUCCCUCCUCCAUUUGAGGAUCCUUGUAAUUACUUUGUGCCUACCUAGGUACCAGAUCAUAGUCCAGGCCUGGCAAAGAGCAGGCACUCAGAGAGUACUCCUGGAACUGGAUGAAGCAGAGAAAGGCUUCCCCAAGGUGCCCUCAGAUCUAGUUCAAAUGAUCAUACCAAACCACCUCAACAAUCCACAGCUUAGUUUGCUGCACAGUUUACUGUCAUGUAGAAGAAUCUCUGUACCACGAGUGACACGCAGCACUAUACUGUAUUGCUACCCUGUGAGGCAAUUCUAGAAUAACUGACAAAAUUAACCUCAAGGAAAAUAAAGGAUUUAUCUAGGAUGAUUUACAGACUUCAAAAUUAAACGAAAGAGAAUGCAUGGCAACCACCAACAGCCCACCACACACACUCAGCCCCUCUCCUGGAAAGGCUGGGAGGUGUGCGGAUGCUAUGACUGGCACUGUUUAGAGACAAACUGCCCUUGAAUAUAGAUAUACG
RNAcentral lists this long non-coding RNA (522 nucleotides) under Heterocephalus glaber (naked mole-rat). Its description in RNAcentral is "lncRNA (ENSHGLG00000046755.1)". The record is from RNAcentral. Lineage: Eukaryota; Metazoa; Chordata; Mammalia; Rodentia; Bathyergidae.